ACUGUCGGUCGGCGGCUAAGGAGGGGAGGCACCUGCAUCUGGGGCGCGGCGAAUCCUCGCGUGCGCCAGGCCGCCUGGGGUAGUCGCCGAGACUGCGCCGGCCAGCGGGGCCGAAACCUAAUCAGGAGCUGAGCUUUGAUGGCGGCUUCUGGAGGGACAAAGAAGGCGCAGAGCGGUGGGAGGAGGCUGCGAGAACCUAGCUCCCGCCCCAGCCGACGUGCGAGACAAAGGCCCCGGCGCGGGGCUCUUCGGAAGGCCGGGAGGUUCCUGUGACAAUGCGAGUCUGCGCCCCACGCUCCCGCACCGUGAUGCCGAGGCCAAAUGGCUAGAGUGGGCCCAGGCAUCAGCAUUUCUGUUUGGCAGCCGGGCAGUUGUGGUGCACGUUUUGAGGAACUACUAAAGCCUGCCUGUGAUGAAAAAGGCAAAAGCUGACUUCACCAAAAUUACUCCCAGGGAGACUUCUGCAUUUGGCUGGAAGGACAUUUGAGUAAACCGCUGAGGCUGGUGGUUGAAACAUAAUCCUCUAAGGGAGAUCGGUUCCGAUACCCUGAGUUAGGGACGCUUGCCUGGGCAGAGCUAAGGGGAGAAUGAUCAAAAGCCAAGCUCUGUCCCCGUCAGCACGUCACCCUCCCUCACUGUAAUCCCUGACUGUUUUCUCUAAAUGAAGAAUUAUUUAGAGAAUAUAAAUUAGAAGGGCCGCCACGUCAGAAUUGCCUGAGUGGGAGCAGUCUUUCCAGCCUCGAAAAAUGUUUAAACAAUAUGCAGAUGACCUAGCACAAAUAAAGAAUGCUAGCAACCGCUGUUAUGUGUGAGCGGUGGAAUUGGGAGGGCUCUUCCCCCAAUCUUCAUCAAACAGAGUAAGGUUUAGAAUAAAAAUAAUGAAAUACAGUCUUUCAAAAAGAGCAGCGCUUGACUAAUGUUACUGAUGUCACUCAUGUUACUCAAGGGAGGAAAGAACUCAAACUCUACAUAAUAAUACCCACUGAUUUCAAGGGCUGGCACGGAGAAUUAAGCAGACCGCCAUUCUUUAUAUUUGUUUUUUUGUUGUUGUUUGCUUAUGAUUUUUUUCUUUCUUUUUUUUUUUUUUUUUUUGAGAAGGGGUCUCGCACUGUCACCCAGGCAGGAAUGCAGUGGCGCGAUAAUGGCUCACUGCAAUCUCACUAUAUUGACCAGUAUGAUUUUCAACUCCUGUCUUUAAGCGAUCCUCACGCUUCGGCCUCCCAAAGUGCUGGGGUUACAGACAUGUGCCACUAUGCCCUGCCUAAAUAUGUUUAUAUAUACUACCGCCAAAGAAACAAUUUGAAGACGAUCUUUCCCCAGCCCCUCUCCUUCUGAUCCAACUCCAAGAGCUCACCCUCCCUGUAAGACCUGUAGCAGAGCACGUAUUGGCCUGCUGAUACUAGGGGCAAAGACCGGGCCGAUCAGAUGUUACAUGGCAUAAGGGCGAAGGAUUCUGAAAGAAAGACUGAGACUUGCUGGAGGAAGUACUAGUAGUGCCAAGGGCAGGAACUCAACUGUUAGGCAGAAGGGAGGAAUGUACUGUUGAUAUGGACAGACUCCAAGAAGGGGAGGGACUGCUGGGACUACUAGAACGAGAAUGCCUCUGCCCCUAUGGCUCAGCUCUGCAACUCUCUCUGCACAUUGGCUUCAUGCUGUUAGACCAGCUUCCUCCAUAUGUCUGGAAACAAGGCCACUGACAGCUCCCAACAUUUCAUCUUCUGCCUCAUCAUCAGACAGGCGAGUGCAGUGGCAUAAUCUCGGCUCACUGCAACCUUUGCCUCCUGGGUUCAAGCAAAAACUGGAAUGAUGCAGCUUCAGGCCAAGGAAUGCUGGCAGCCACCAGAAGCUGAAGGACACAAGGAAUGGAUUCUCAGAGCCUCGGCAGGAAAUGUGGCCCUGCCAACACCUUGAUUUCAGACUUCUCAACUCCAGUACUGGGAGGGAAUAAAUUUCUGUUGUUUUAAGCCUCCCAGUUUGUGAUAAUUUGCUACAGCAGCCACAGGAAGCAAAUAAGGAGGGCCUAUUUGGAGGAGGAUGCAAACCCAGCAGUGGGUGAUGAACUAUUCUUACUUACAGCUACCUUAUUCAUUACUAGUCUAGACUUAAGCAUUGACUUCAUCACUGAAAAGGCUGCAGCUGAGCCUAGAGUUUCAGGUUCCUGUGCUGCAUAUGGCUACAGUGAUUCUUAGGUCAGCUCCCUAGGAUGCAGUUGAGUCUCUCUCUAACUGAUGAGUCUCUUUAAAUAUACAGUUGGGGCUGGGUGCGGUGGCUCACACCUCUAAUCCUAGCACUUUUGGAGGUUGAGGAGGGAGGAUCACUGGAACCCAGGAGUUCAAGACCAGCCUUGCCAACAUAGUGAAACCCAUCUCUACUAAAAAAAUACAAAAAUUAGCCGGGCAUGGUGGCGCACACCUGUAAUCCCAGCUACUCGAGAGGCUGAGGUGGGAGAAUCACUUGAACCUGAGAGGCAGAGGCUGCAGUGAGCCAACAUCGUGCCACUACACUCCAGCCUGGGCAACAGAGUGAGACUCUGUCUCAAAACUAUGUAAAUAAAUAAAUAAAUCUACAGCGGGCCCUCCCUGUUCUUGGGUUCUGCAUCCAUGGAUUCAACCAAUUGUGGAUCAAGAAUAGGUUCAUCUGUACUAAACAUGUAUAGACUUUUCUUCUUGUCUGUAUUCCCUAAAUGAAAUAGUAUGACAAGCCAAGCAUGGUGGCUCACACCUGUAAUCACAGCACUUUGGGAGGCUGAGGCAGGAGGAUUGCUUGAGCCCGGGAGUUUGAGACCAGCCUAAGCAACAUAGACCCCAUCUCUACCAAAAAAAUUUUUUUAGCCAGGCAUGGUGGCGUGUGCCUGUAGUCUUGGCUACUCAGGAGGCUGAAGUGGGAGGUUCACUUGAGCCCAGGAGGUCGAGGUUGCAGUGAGCUGUGAUCGCGCCACAGCCCUCCAGCCGGGACGACAGAGUGAGACCCUGUCUCAAACAAACAAACGUAGAUAUAUAGUACGCCAACUUACAUAACAUUUACAUUGUAUUAGGCAUUAUAAGUAAUCUAGACAUGAUUUAAAGGAGGAUAUGUAUAGGUUACAUGCAAAUUCUAUACCAUUUUAUAUAAGGAACUUGAUCACCCAUGGAUUUUGGGUGCAGGGUCUGGAAACCAAUCCCCCACAGAUAUUGUGGAGAGAUCAUACAUUUUCAUCUGAUAUUUUGACUUCUAACCUGAAAUUGUAUAUUUGCUCCAAAGUGAAACUCUUCCUAAGAGUUUUUAUCUUAGACACAUGGAAUCCAAAGAACCUUGAGGAAUUAUCUGGUAUAUCUCACUCCAUUAUUCAUGGAAAC
This 3335-nucleotide long non-coding RNA is filed under the name Homo sapiens (human). RNAcentral's name for it is "MARCHF6 divergent transcript (MARCHF6-DT)". Lineage: Eukaryota; Metazoa; Chordata; Mammalia; Primates; Hominidae. The record is from RNAcentral.